Cyanistes caeruleus (blue tit) is the source of this 510-nucleotide long non-coding RNA. RefSeq lists it as uncharacterized. The record is from RefSeq and is a predicted model, not a curated record. NCBI's taxonomy places the organism in Eukaryota, Metazoa, Chordata, Aves, Passeriformes, Paridae.
CAAAUAUCCAGGGGUCUGUCUUUAAGUGGGAAAGCCCACAACCAACUGCAUUAUUUCAGGACAGGGCUACUGCCAAGCAGCACUGCAGGGGCUUGGCUCCCUUCUUAGCACAGCAGAAGGAAUCAGCACCCAGGGGAUGGGAAUUCUGUUCCCAGCUGUAGCAGUGGGUCCCCAGAAGCCUUCAGGAAGGAUGAGUUCCUCCUCUCAGGGAAGGAAUUCCAGUUCUGCCAAGGACAGGGAGCAUCCUUGCCCAUAGAAAAAAGGCCAAAAGGUUCAGUGGCCAAAGGGGCUGCAGCACCUAUGGAAUUUGGCUGGGAAAUCAGAGCAGUGCUGAAUUCUGAUGUUUUCUCUGAAAAGAGUCAUAAGGGAUCUGUAACUGUAACCAGAUCCAAGAUUUCAUCCUCAGAGAAUCAGAAAGAAGAUUGGCUUAGUUUGAACCCCUGAGAAUGAUAAACUUGCUGAACUAUUAAGAGCUCAGCUCCACGCAGGAGAAAAUAAAGGUCCUGGCUG